This 72-nucleotide transfer RNA is filed under the name Sus scrofa (pig). It matches the Rfam family "tRNA". From Rfam's summary of the family: Transfer RNA (tRNA) molecules are approximately 80 nucleotides in length. Their secondary structure includes four short double-helical elements and three loops (D, anti-codon, and T loops). Further hydrogen bonds mediate the characteristic L-shaped molecular structure. tRNAs have two regions of fundamental functional importance: the anti-codon, which is responsible for specific mRNA codon recognition, and the 3' end, to which the tRNAs corresponding amino acid is attached (by aminoacyl-tRNA synthetases). tRNAs cope with the degeneracy of the genetic code in two manners: having more than one tRNA (with a specific anti-codon) for a particular amino acid; and 'wobble' base-pairing, i.e. permitting non-standard base-pairing at the 3rd anti-codon position. The record is from Rfam by way of RNAcentral. Lineage: Eukaryota; Metazoa; Chordata; Mammalia; Artiodactyla; Suidae.
UCCCUGGUGGUCUAGUGGUUAAGCUGUGGUGCUUUCACCACUGCAGCCCAGGUUCAAUCCCUGGUCUGGGGA